Molecule: ribosomal RNA, 815 nt
Filed under: uncultured bacterium
Lineage: Bacteria
Description: bacterial SSU rRNA
Rfam family: Bacterial small subunit ribosomal RNA
Source: RNAcentral
AGUCGAGCGAGCUUGCCUAGAUGAUUUUAGUGCUUGCACUAAAUGAAACUAGAUACAAGCGAGCGGCGGACGGGUGAGUAACACGUGGGUAACCUGCCCAAGAGACUGGGAUAACACCUGGAAACAGAUGCUAAUACCGGAUAACAACACUAGACGCAUGUCUAGAGUUUGAAAGAUGGUUCUGCUAUCACUCUUGGAUGGACCUGCGGUGCAUUAGCUAGUUGGUAAGGUAACGGCUUACCAAGGCAAUGAUGCAUAGCCGAGUUGAGAGACUGAUCGGCCACAUUGGGACUGAGACACGGCCCAAACUCCUACGGGAGGCAGCAGUAGGGAAUCUUCCACAAUGGACGAAAGUCUGAUGGAGCAACGCCGCGUGAGUGAAGAAGGGUUUCGGCUCGUAAAGCUCUGUUGGUAGUGAAGAAAGAUAGAGGUAGUAACUGGCCUUUAUUUGACGGUAAUUACUUAGAAAGUCACGGCUAACUACGUGCCAGCAGCCGCGGUAAUACGUAGGUGGCAAGCGUUGUCCGGAUUUAUUGGGCGUAAAGCGAGUGCAGGCGGUUCAAUAAGUCUGAUGUGAAAGCCUUCGGCUCAACCGGAGAAUUGCAUCAGAAACUGUUGAACUUGAGUGCAGAAGAGGAGAGUGGAACUCCAUGUGUAGCGGUGGAAUGCGUAGAUAUAUGGAAGAACACCAGUGGCGAAGGCGGCUCUCUGGUCUGCAACUGACGCUGAGGCUCGAAAGCAUGGGUAGCGAACAGGAUUAGAUACCCUGGUAGUCCAUGCCGUAAACGAUGAGUGCUAAGUGUUGGGAGGUUUCC